Molecule: ribosomal RNA, 254 nt
Filed under: uncultured bacterium
Lineage: Bacteria
Description: partial 16S ribosomal RNA
Rfam family: Bacterial small subunit ribosomal RNA
Source: RNAcentral
UACGUAGGGUGCAAGCGUUUGUCCGGAAUUAUUGGGCGUAAAGAGCUCGUAGGCGGUGUGUCGCGUCUGCUGUGAAAACUCAGGGCUCAACUCUGAGCUUGCAGUGGGUACGGGCACACUAGAGUGCUGUAGGGGAGACUGGAAUUCCUGGUGUAGCGGUGGAAUGCGCAGAUAUCAGGAGGAACACCGAUGGCGAAGGCAGCUCGCUGGGACGGUACUGACGCUGAGGCGCGAAAGCGUGGGGAGCGAACAGG